RNAcentral lists this long non-coding RNA (605 nucleotides) under Gallus gallus (chicken). Its description in RNAcentral is "lncRNA (ENSGALG00010007613.1)". The record is from RNAcentral. Lineage: Eukaryota; Metazoa; Chordata; Aves; Galliformes; Phasianidae.
GUCCGGUCCGUGCAGCGUCGCUGAGCGGCCGUGGAACGGGCGGGGAGGCGCCACCGCCGCGGGGAGAGAGCAGCGCUGCGGCGCGGGACGGAAAAGUCAGGCCCUUUUUGGUGUCCUGGAUCACUCUACAACUCGGGGUGGAAGUUGAAGACUCAGAUCCAAUAUCCCACAGGCACAGCUGAUGCUGAACCCAGGAGCCCAGGUUGUGCUCAGGAGUUACUCCAAGAUGAGGAGUUUUGAAGACUAUUGGUCUUCAAGCAGGUGACAGUAGCAGCAGAACACUGGGCCAGUGCAGGGGGAAGGAAGAGGGAAAGGACAGGAUACCUUCAGAGCAGCCUGAAAAGCAGCAACGAGCUCUGGGAGGACUACAGAGUGCCACAUUCUGUAACAGGUGUAUCUGUGUGUGUAUUGCCAUUACUUGUUUGGGUCGGGGUUGUUUUCACUUCUGAGCUCCUGCAGUGAGAAGAGCUCGAGCAAAUGGUGCAAUCCAUGCAGACCUGUAGAAUCCUUGAGCUCCAAGGGUGCUCCUGCCAUCCCCUGCCCACCCCUAAAAUGCCAAAUACAUUUGGCAGCGGGAUGGAGGAAUCCCAGCACGCUGCUUCCUC